Molecule: non-coding RNA, 676 nt
Organism: Benincasa hispida (wax gourd)
Lineage: Eukaryota; Viridiplantae; Streptophyta; Magnoliopsida; Cucurbitales; Cucurbitaceae
Source: RefSeq, a predicted model, not a curated record
AAAGAAAGAAAUUAAAAUCUCUCUCCUUCUCUUUCACAUACGCAAGCCGCAGCACCCCCUGUGUUUUCGCUCGCUUCAAGCCCUAGCCACCAACCUACCUCAGAUGCUGCCUUGCAUUCCAGAUCUGCUAUAUCGUUGCCUUCGUCUGGGUCGCCGCCGGUAGUGCUAGUCACCUUCAGUCGCUGUUCGCGCCCGUCGCUGACAACAGAUCUCGCCGCUACGCGUUCCAUUGUUGUUCGACCUUCGUCCGUGCGGUCAGGUCUGUGUUAUUCGCCGACAUCCCUCGUUCUAGCCCCACUCGGCCAGUUUCACACGAGUGUCCGUACGUUUGCGCAUCCGAUUGGGGUUGUGUUUCCGUUCCAGCACUAUCGUUCGCUGUAGGUAGCGUCCGAUCUUUCUUAGCUGGUUGGGGUUCCAGACCAGACAUCACCGAAUUCUCUACCACUCGACCCACGUUCAGCCGCCGUUGGUCUUUGUUCUGGAGUUGUCGCCCCCAGCACUGGCGGUCACCGAAACAUCAAUUUUGGAUUCAAGAUUUUGAGGAUUUUGAAGUGCUAUCCAUCAAGUUUAAGACCAAUCUCGACAAUUUUUAUAUCAAAUUAAGUUCGAAGGUUGGAGGUGGAUUCGAAGCAGGCCACAUUUUGGGUAAAAUAACUAAAGCAGUUUACGAGGAAGA